GAAGCAAGGGCAUAUUAUCAAGGAUUGCCCAAUACGUCCUGCACGUCGCCAAGCAACUGCUUAUUCAGCUGCUGCUGAGGCUACUAGUGCUGCCAGUUCUACCUUGGCCAUUUCCUCUCAAGUUCCAGCUUCCACUUCUCAAAAUUCCACUCCUAUCAUACCAGAAAUGGUCCAACAAAUGAUAAUCUCAGCUCUUUCAGCUUUUGGUAUUUCAGUAUGCUGGUCCACUUAAAAUUCACACGGCAAAUGGUAGUUCCCUACCUAUCACUGCCAUAGGAUCAGGUGACCGGGAAGAUGAUCGCGAGGGGUCCUAAAGAGGGUCGGCUGUUUCCAUUAUGUUUAGAUUCCA
Long non-coding RNA from Juglans regia (Persian walnut), 349 nucleotides. RefSeq lists it as uncharacterized. The record is from RefSeq and is a predicted model, not a curated record. NCBI's taxonomy places the organism in Eukaryota, Viridiplantae, Streptophyta, Magnoliopsida, Fagales, Juglandaceae. The transcript has 3 exons.